CAAUAGCGUAUAUUAAAGUUGUUGCAGUUAAAAAGCUCGUAGUUGAAUUUUUGCUUGCCGCCGAUGUCGGAACUUCCGUACGUUCGGCGGCGUGCAUCCUUGGGUGGAACCUGUGUGGCAUUAGGUUGUCGUGCAGGGGAUGCUCAUCGUUUACUGUGAAAAAAUUAGAGUGUUCAAAGCAGGCUUACGCCGUUGAAUAUAUUAGCAUGGAAUAAUAAGAUAGGACCUUGGUACUAUUUUGUUGGUUUGCGCACCGAGGUAAUGAUUAACAGGGACAGUUGGGGGUAUUCGUAUUCCAUUGUCAGAGGUGAAAUUCCUGGAUUUCUGGAAGACGAACUACUGCGAAAGCAUUUACCAAGGAUGUUUUCAUUAA
This 373-nucleotide ribosomal RNA is filed under the name uncultured eukaryote. Its description in RNAcentral is "partial 18S ribosomal RNA". It matches the Rfam family "Eukaryotic small subunit ribosomal RNA", at positions 592 to 976 of the family's 1831-position model. The record is from RNAcentral.